GUUGGCACUGAAAAUAAGAAAAUUGGAGUGUCAUCAACACCUGAAUUAAUCACCGUGAUUAUGGACUGAUCUAAUAACCUCAUGAAACGGUUAUAAAAACUAACAAAUCGUUUAUGAAAGUUAUUUUUAGUAUUGAUACUUAAUAAACAAAGGAUUUCUUACGGACAAUAAUUUCGUAAAAUGUCGUUUUCCGAUUACGAGCAGACAUGUCACGAUCAUGGAACCCUGUUGGUCCUUUUGCGCCCGAUUGGCACUCAAAUAAAACAAAACCUUGUGACAAAAUUGUGCGAGCGUAUAAUGAAAAGUGGUAGUUGUUUGACGGUGAUAGAUUCAAGUGGAUCGACUCGCGAAAUUUUCACCCGUUUUGUCAAAGAUUAUCCUGUUGAGAACAGUGAUUGGGGUGAUUUUCAAACGCAUCGCAGAUUACUGGGUCUUAUUACUUUUGGUAAAUACAAUGAUCAAACAGAGUUAAAUGAGCUCUGUCGUAUACAUGAGACUCUAAAAGUCAGGUAUUCUUCGACACUUUAUGAUUCGCGUACAGUUCUCUUUGGGCCUGUAAAAUCUAACAGUCUAAAGGAACCUCCCCUAGGGUUCACAACUCCAUCAAAUUUUAAGACAAGCGGUAUCUUCUUUCUGGAUGAAUCUUGUCCUGAAUUAGAAACUGAGAUCAUGGAAUGUUUAAACCUGCUCUUCUGGAUACUGGAAUCUAAGAGACUAGAAAGGUCAAGAGAAAAAAGUGAACGAGUAUCUUUAAUUGUGGCACCUUUUGAGAAGAAGGAUUUUAUUGGGCUUGAUAUGGAGUCAAGAAACAACAGGAAGAGAUGUAUUGGACGUAUGACCAAACAUCUUGGGGAUUUGUGUCUUCAAGCUAGCUUACAUUCAGACGCACUAAGUCACUAUAAUUCAGCUGCAACUAUUCUUCAAGGAGUCAACGAUUGGUUAUGGCUAGGAGCUGCAUUGGAGGGCCUCUGUGCAGCAUCUGUCAUUGUUCUUUAUCCCAAUAUGCGUAGGAACUUACCACUGCAAAGAAAUUCAUCAUUGCAGGAGGGCAGUCCGGGUAAACAAAGAUUCAGCUUCCAACCUCCAAUGCCUUUACGCGUGUCGCUAGCAAGUGAAGAGAUCAAGGCUGAAAUGCCAAAUAUAUUACCACCCGAAGAUAUACCCAAAAAGUACCGUGAAGCGAUAGUACACUACAGCAAAUACCAAAAUGCAGGAAUCAUCGAAACGGAAGCUAGUUUCAAAGCUACCAGAAUCUCAAUUGAACAAAACUGCACUCUUCAAGCUGCGUCUUUUCUCAACAAUGUUGUAUUAAUCAAUUUAACGAUGAAUGAUCAAGAGAAGAUUGAUCGAUUUACAAUGUUAUCUGAGCUGUAUUCAUCAUUUGGAUUCUUGAGGAAAGCUUCAUUCUGCUUGCGUUUAGCAGCGACAAGGCAUGUCUCCAAAAAUAACCCGGAACCUGAUUGGAGGCAAUGUUACAAUCUAAUGUUGCAAGCUACACCUGGAUUCAGAUUGUCUAUGGAUCCAACAGAAAUGUCACAAGAUUAUCGAAGGGGCUGGCCAGCUAUUCAGAUUCAAGUUAUAAACGAGCUUAUAGCCGCUGCCAAUAGAAUGGGGAAUCCUGCUCUUGCAACUAGACACAUGACAUUUUUACUUCAAAUAAUGUACAAUUACCUGAGCCCUACAGAACGUAAGGAUAUCGCUUUACAACUUCAGAGUGCUUCACAACAAUGCGAAGGCGCUCCAAUACCACUUGUUCUAGACUCAGGAAUUGUCGUACCACCCGCUAAUUUGAUAAAUAUACCAACAACAAAGUCUUUCGUUUUGAAAAAUCUUCAGCCCCAUUUGCAGCCGCAAAAAAUUGAACGCGUCAAAGAAGAUCACGGGCCAUUUCUCUUUACCCCAAUAAACUUCGGAUCAUUGGAGAGAAAAAAUACUUCAAAGAGUAAAGUCGAUUACUUAUGGGUGGAAGGUGAUAUUUGUGAAGUUUCGAUCCAACUGAUAAAUCCUCUACCCUUCGAACUCAACGUCUCUAAUAUGCGGUUACUGACGAACGGUAUUGUUUUCGAAUCUCUUCCCGAGAGUAUUACUCUCCCUGCCGAAUCAAGACCGAUUGUUGUUACUUUGGCUGGUACGCCGAAAGAGGUCGGAGAUCUUGAGAUUUUGGGUUUCAGCACUCAUACACUGGGAGUCAAGUCGAAUUGUCGAUUGAAAUAUAUAAAAGCUACACCAUAUCCACAUUAUAUGGUCGAAAUAAUUCCAGCGUUGCCGAAAAUUGAAAUCGUUACGAGCCUGCCGCAAACUGCUAGCUUCAGCUCGGGUGAAAAUAUUGUUACCAGCGCAAGUGUAUCCCUUUAUGGGGGAGAAAGCUCUGAAUGCACAAUUACACUGACGAAUACUGGGUUGGUAUCUAUCGAAAUAAUCGAACUUUCCAUGCAAUCAACUUUGGAUGCAAUAACAGAGGAAAAGAUAUUUAAAUGGAGUGAAGAAAACUUGAAAAUGCAGCUACCUCUUCAGCCUGGUGCAAGUGCAAGUAUAACUCUGUACUUGUAUGCCGCAACAGAUUUUAUAGCUCCAACGGCACACAAUCAAAUGUCUAAUAGUGCGUACUUGAGUCAAAUGUGUGGUUCGAUGUGGCAUUCGGGGCACAGUUCUCUGCCAUCUCGUCUGAAUUCGCCCUCGGAACAUAUUAAAAGGCAAUCCGAGCUCACAUCAUCACUCCGAUCGGGCCUUGGCCCGAACCUUCUAAGUAGUAAGAUGUCGGCGAAUACGACUUUAUCAACGCUAGCGGCACCAAUACCUGCUUCAAACCUAACCGAGGGUGAAUUGAGAAUAAAAUACUCUGGUGGUGCUGGACUCGCUGCUGGUUAUUGUCGAAUUUCGUCAGUUUUUGUGACGAUUGAAAUAUUACCGAGUGUUCAAAUCACCAGUUGGGAUGUUCUUCCUGCAGAAACAAAUCAUCAUAGACGAAGCUGUGGUGAGAGCCCAGGACGAGAUAACAUGUACGCUGGGCGAUUAUAUGACUAUCGGUGUUGGAAUCUGCAAUGCCUUAAAACACCCUCUUCACAACCUCACUCUGAUUAUAAGCUUCUAUCAAGAUCAUCAAAAUGGUGUCAAUAACUAUAGGUUGGAUACACGGUUAUCAAUAGCGGGUGCAAACAAAGUCGUUCUUCCAGCGUUGCAGGAAUACGGUCGAGCAUAUCACGAGUGUCGAGUAGUAUUCUUCACAGCAGGACAAUACAAAAUUGAUAUCCAAUGUGGCAGCUCUAAGUCUGAUCCAAGCCCGGUGACAAUUUGUACAGAACUCGUGAAUGCAGG
Molecule: unclassified non-coding RNA, 3315 nt
Filed under: Venturia canescens
Lineage: Eukaryota; Metazoa; Arthropoda; Insecta; Hymenoptera; Ichneumonidae
Description: protein brunelleschi, transcript variant X2
Source: RNAcentral